Molecule: long non-coding RNA, 2155 nt
Filed under: Taeniopygia guttata (zebra finch)
Lineage: Eukaryota; Metazoa; Chordata; Aves; Passeriformes; Estrildidae
Description: lncRNA (ENSTGUG00000022530.1)
Source: RNAcentral
GUUUCAUUUUGUACAAAAUUACAACCUUAGCAAGAAGAGCCACGAGCGAGAUGACAGCACUCUGCAGUGCUGUGGUUCUUCAGCAUCAGAGCUGCUUUAGAAGGUCCCCGUUUCCCUGCUGCUGGUUUCUGCCAGGAGUGGCGUGAAUUCAAUUGAUCUCCAGUUUCAGCUGAAAAAAAGUCCUGGAGAGAGGAGUUGAUAAAGGGAACUCUAGGCACGACAUGAAGAACUGAUUUCUGGACAAACACCAGUGGAGAGUGAGCAGCCAACCCUUACUGCCUUGGGGAUUGCAUGCAUCCUUAAUUAUUGCAGUGCUGGACUCGAGAGGGAUGUGGCACAUCCAUCUGUGUCAUACCUCGACACCCAUCUGCCUGAAGCUGCAGCAGUUGCUGCAAGGCUGGCACGUCUUCAGGCACAACAGCUGGCUCAGAGCUUCUUCUCCAGUCCCUCCUGAAAGGCAUGAAAGAUACAGAAGAAAUUGCUGCUUGGACUUUCCAAACCAACAGGCUGCAUUCUUGAGGACCUUCUCUCUGGUAAGGCCUUUCAGCAUCUUCUGCUUUCAUGAAAGGAUCUCUGUGGUUUUGUUUGGGUUUUUUUGUUUUGUUUUUAACUUUCUGAAUAAUCUAGAGCAACCUUUAAAAAAUUACUGUAAGAUAAUUUGCAUGGAGGGUAAAUUCACCUGCACCCUGUGUUCCACACCUCAAGCCCUGUUCACAACAGUGAGGAUGCAGCUGUUGUGACACUGAGCUGUUUCCCAGGUGAAUUACUCAUGGUCACAUUCUCUUCAGCCUUGGGCUGAAGGAAGGCAGGAUUUCAAUACAUAUUAGGAAGAAAUUCUUUACUGUGGAGGUGGUGAGGAUCUGGCACAGGUUUCCUGAAGGUGUGGCUGCCCCUGGAUCCCUGGAAGUGUAUAAGACCAGGUUGGAUGUGGCUCUGAUCAACCUGGUCUAGUGGGAGGUGUCCCUGCCCACAACAGGGGGUUGGAACAUGAUGGUCAUUACGGUCCCUUCCAACCCAAACCAUUCCAUGAUUCACCAGGCUCCCUGCCCUGGGGCUACCUGCACCUCUCUCCCCUGUUUCUGGCCUGGGCAAGCUGAGAUGCCUGGGCAAUGCCUGCACAACCCCAAGGCCUUUUUAGGGGGAGCACCUGACUGCUGUCCCAGCAUGAAGCCCCUCACAGACCCCUCAGAUUUAGUGGAAAUUCCCCCCCAAACCAGACAAGCAGCCACUACCACAGGCUGUGCUCGGGAGCCACUGGCAGCCACAUCUGUGUCCCCACUAUGGCCACUGUCCUUGGGGACACAAGUAAAACAUCUUCAAAGGUGCCCCGGCAGAGCCCUUUCUCCAGGUCACAGGAUUAAUUAGGUUGGAAAACACCUCUGAGAUCAUCAAGUCCAACCUUUGAGUGAUCUCCACCAUGUGAAUUAGACCACAGCACUAAGUGACACAUCCAGUCCCUUCAGGGACAGUGACUCCACCAUGCCCCUCAGUACCUCAUUCCAGCGUCCAGCCACCUGUUCUGUGAAGAGCCUCUUCCAGAUGUCCAACCUCAACCUCCCCUGGUGCAGCUCGAGGCCAUUUACUCUUGUCCUGUUGCUGUUUGCCUGGGAGAAGAGGCUGGCUCACCUGGCUACAGCCUGUCAGGGAGCUGCAGAGAGGGACAAGAUCAUCCCUGAGCCUCCUUUUCUCUAGGCUGAACACCCCCAGCUCCUCAAAGGACUCGUGCUCCAGACUCUUCACCACUCCGUCACCCUUCUCUGGACACGCUCUGUCACCCCAAUGUCCUCCUGAACUGAGGUGGCCAGAACUGGACACAGUCUCUGGAGGCCCUGUGGGUAAACCCUGGGUGUUCCGCCCGGCUUUCCCUCAGCGAUCCGGCUGGACACCGCCGGACAACAUCAGACACGGCCGGACAUUGCCAGACACCAUUGUUGGACACCACCAGACACUGCUGGACAUCACAGGACACCACUGGAUUUUGCCGGACAUUGCCAGAUACCAUCGGACACCACCAGACACGGCUGGACAUCACCGGACAUUGCCGGACACCACUGGAUAUUGCUGGACAUUGCUGGACAUCACUGGACAUUGUCGGACAUCGCCGGACAUUGCCAGACACCAUCAGACACUGCCAGACAUACAUCUCUGGACACUG